RNAcentral lists this ribosomal RNA (468 nucleotides) under uncultured bacterium. RNAcentral describes it as "partial 16S ribosomal RNA". It matches the Rfam family "Bacterial small subunit ribosomal RNA", at positions 28 to 507 of the family's 1533-position model. The record is from RNAcentral.
GACGAACGCUGGCGGCGUGCUUAACACAUGCAAGUCGAACGGAAAGGCCCUGCUUUUGUGGGGUGCUCGAGUGGCGAACGGGUGCGUAACACGUGAGUAACCUGCCCUUGACUUUGGGAUAACUUCAGGAAACUGGGGCUAAUACCGGAUAGGAGCUCCUGCUGCAUGGUGGGGGUUGGAAAGUUUCGGCGGUCGGGGAUGGACUCGCGGCUUAUCAGCUUGUUGGUGGGGUAGUGGCUUACCAAGGCUUUGGCGGGUAGCCGGCCUGAGAGGGUGACCGGCCACAUUGGGACUGAGAUACGGACCAGACUCCUACGGGAGGCAGCAGUGGGGAAUAUUGCACAAUGGGCGGAAGCCUGAUGCAGCAACGCCGCGUGCGGGAUGACGGCCUUCGGGUUGUAAACCGCUUUCGCCUGUGACGAAGCGUGAGUGACGGUAAUGGGUAAAGAAGCACCGGCUAACUACGUG